This 2745-nucleotide ribosomal RNA is filed under the name Mycoplasmopsis arginini. Its description in RNAcentral is "bacterial LSU rRNA". The stretch from base 1 to 1496 matches the Rfam family "Bacterial small subunit ribosomal RNA". The record is from RNAcentral. Lineage: Bacteria; Bacillati; Mycoplasmatota; Mycoplasmoidales; Metamycoplasmataceae.
GGAUGAACGCUGGCUGUGUGCCUAAUACAUGCAUGUCGAGCGAGGUUCUUUUGAACCUAGCGGCGAAUGGGUGAGUAACACGUGCUUAAUCUACCCUUUAGAUUGGAAUACCCAAUGGAAACAUUGGCUAAUGCCGGAUACGCAUGGAAUCGCAUGAUUCCGUUGUGAAAGGAGCCUUUAAAGCUCCGCUAGAGGAUGAGGGUGCGGAACAUUAGUUAGUUGGUAGGGUAAUGGCCUACCAAGACUAUGAUGUUUAGCCGGGUCGAGAGACUGAACGGCCACAUUGGGACUGAGAUACGGCCCAAACUCCUACGGGAGGCAGCAGUAGGGAAUAUUCCACAAUGAGCGAAAGCUUGAUGGAGCGACACAGCGUGCACGAUGAAGGUCUUCGGAUUGUAAAGUGCUGUUAUAGGGAAAGAACACCUGGUUGAGGAAAUGCUUCCAGGCUGACGGUACCCUSUCAGAAAGCGAUGGCUAACUAUGUGCCAGCAGCCGCGGUAAUACAUAGGUCGCAAGCGUUAUCCGGAAUUAUUGGGCGUAAAGCGUUCGUAGGCUGUUUAUUAAGUCUGGAGUCAAAUCCCAGGGCUCAACCCUGGCUCGCUUUGGAUACUGAUAAACUAGAGUUAGAUAGAGGUAAGCGGAAUUCCAUGUGAAGCGGUGAAAUGCGUAGAUAUAUGGAAGAACACCAAAGGCGAAGGCAGCUUACUGGGUCUAUACUGACGCUGAGGGACGAAAGCGUGGGGAGCAAACAGGAUUAGAUACCCUGGUAGUCCACGCCGUAAACGAUGAUCAUUAGUCGGUGGAGAGUUCACUGACGCAGCUAACGCAUUAAAUGAUCCGCCUGAGUAGUAUGCUCGCAAGAGUGAAACUUAAAGGAAUUGACGGGGACCCGCACAAGCGGUGGAGCAUGUGGUUUAAUUUGAAGAUACGCGGAGAACCUUACCCACUCUUGACAUCCUUCGCAAUGCUAUAGAGAUAUAGCGGAGGUUAACGGAGUGACAGAUGGUGCAUGGUUGUCGUCAGCUCGUGUCGUGAGAUGUUUGGUCAAGUCCUGCAACGAGCGCAACCCCUAUCUUUAGUUACUAACGAGUUAUGUCGAGGACUCUAGAGAUACUGCCUGGGUAACUGGGAGGAAGGUGGGGAUGACGUCAAAUCAUCAUGCCUCUUACGAGUGGGGCAACACACGUGCUACAAUGGUCGGUACAAAGAGAAGCAAUAUGGCGACAUGGAGCAAAUCUCAAAAAGCCGAUCUCAGUUCGGAUUGGAGUCUGCAAUUCGACUCCAUGAAGUCGGAAUCGCUAGUAAUCGCAGAUCAGCUACGCUGCGGUGAAUACGUUCUCGGGUCUUGUACACACCGCCCGUCGCACCAUGGGAGCUGGUAAUACCCAAAGUCGGUUAGCUAACCUCGGAGGCGACCGCCUAAGGUAGGACUGGUGACUGGGGUGAAGUCGUAACAAGGUAUCCCUACGAGAACGUGGGGAUGGAUCACCUCCUUUCAUACGGAGUACAUAAAUGUUAUGGAAAAAUUAUUUGUAUCCAGUUUUGAGAGACCUAUCUCUCAAUUUGUUCUUUGAAAACUGAAUAUCGACAUUGAAAAAUUAAAUUUAUUAAUAUUUCAAAGUUUAGAUCAACCUAUAGAAUAUAUCAUACAAUAGACAAACAAUAGGUCUUAUACUACUAUUAAACAAGAUAAGAGUUUUUGGUGGAUGCCUUGGGUCUGGAAGUCGAUGAAGGACGUGAUUACCUGCGAUAAGCCUCGGUUAGCUGGAAAUGAGCUGUGAUCCGGGGAUUUCCGAAUGGGGAAACCUAAUUGAGCUAAUCCUCAAUUAUCAUAUCGAUGAAUACAUAGUCGAAUGAAGAGACACGCUGUGAAUUGAAACAUCUCAGUAGCAGCAGGAAGAGAAAAUAAAGAAUGAUUCCCUCAGUAGUGGCGAGCGAACGGGGAAGAGCCCAAACCAACAUUCGUUGUUGGGGUUAUAGGACUACAUUUUAGAGUUACAAAAUUUACAUAUAGCAGAAUAAGUUGGAAUGCUUAAACAUAGAGGGUGAAAUUCCCGUAAGCGAAAUAUGUAGAUCUCUUUGUAGUAUCCUGAGUAGGGCGGGGCACGUGAAACCCUGUCUGAAUUUGCCGGGACCACCCGGUAAGGCUAAAUACUAACCAGACACCGAUAGUGAACUAGUACCGUGAGGGAAAGGUGAAAAGAACCCCGGGAGGGGAGUGAAAUAGAUUCUGAAACCAAUUACUUACAGUUAGUCAGAGCCCGUUAAUGGGUGAUGGCGUACAUCUUGCAGAAUGGACCGGCGAGUUAUGUCAACAUGCGAGGUUAAGUGGAUUAAAGCGAAGCCGUAGAGAAAUCGAGUCUUAAUAGGGCGCUUAGUAUGUUGAUAUAGACCCGAAACCAGGUGAUCUACCCAUGAGCAGGUUGAAACUUAGGUAACACUAAGUGGAGGACCGAACCGUAGUACGCUAAAAAGUGCCCGGAUGACUUGUGGGUAGGGGUGAAAUUCCAAUCGAACUUGGAGAUAGCUGGUUCUCUCCGAAAUAGCUUUAGGGCUAGCGUGUAGUGUUAAGUGAUGGGGGUAGAGCACUGAAUAUGGAAUGGCGGCGCCUAGCUGUACUGACUAUAAUCAAACUCCGAAUACUAUCAUGAAUUGCUAUGCAGUCGGUACAUCGGUGAUAACGUCGAUGCACGCGAGGGGAACAACCCAGAUCGUCAGCUAAGGUCCCGAAAUUGUGUUAAGUGA